RNAcentral lists this ribosomal RNA (608 nucleotides) under uncultured Actinomycetes bacterium. RNAcentral describes it as "SSU rRNA". It matches the Rfam family "Bacterial small subunit ribosomal RNA", at positions 296 to 915 of the family's 1533-position model. The record is from RNAcentral. Lineage: Bacteria; Bacillati; Actinomycetota; Actinomycetes.
GAGGGGGACCGGCCACACUGAGAUGAGACACGGCCCAGACUCCUACGGGAGGCAGCAGUGGGGAAUAUUGCACAAUGGGCGAAAGCCUGAUGCAGCGACGCCGCGUGAGGGAUGACGGCCUUCGGGUUGUAAACCUCUUUCAGCAGGGAAGAAGCGCAAGUGACGGUACCUGCAGAAGAAGCACCGGCUAACUACGUGCCAGCAGCCGCGGUAAUACGUAGGGUGCGAGCGUUGUCCGGAUUUAUUGGGCGUAAAGAGCUCGUAGGCGGCUUGUCGCGUCGGAUGUGAAAGCCCGGGGCUUAACUCCGGGUCUGCAUUCGAUACGGGCAGGCUAGAGUGUGGUAGGGGAGAUCGGAAUUCCUGGUGUAGCGGUGAAAUGCGCAGAUAUCAGGAGGAACACCGGUGGCGAAGGCGGAUCUCUGGGCCAUUACUGACGCUGAGGAGCGAAAGCGUGGGGAGCGAACAGGAUUAGAUACCCUGGUAGUCCACGCCGUAAACGUUGGGAACUAGGUGUGGGUCACAUUCCACGUGGUCCGCGCCGCAGCUAACGCAUUAAGUUCCCCGCCUGGGGAGUACGGCCGCAAGGCUAAAACUCCAAGGAAUUGACG